Long non-coding RNA from Prionailurus viverrinus (fishing cat), 598 nucleotides. RefSeq lists it as uncharacterized. The transcript has 3 exons. Lineage: Eukaryota; Metazoa; Chordata; Mammalia; Carnivora; Felidae. The record is from RefSeq and is a predicted model, not a curated record.
UGCAAUUUUCCCAGUGCCGGUUUCUAGUGCUCGCUGUCCAACUUCAGGGUAUUUUUGCUCUCGCUCAGAGUUCAGACGUCCACCCCGGCCAUUUAGUCCCGUGGUCACAAGGAGCAGUUGCUGUGUUAGGACUCAGUGGAUGAUGAAACUCACCAGAGACCACAUAGCUAGAGAAUGGCCAGACUCAGUUUUGAAUCUAAGCAAUCUUGACUCCAGAGCCCUCCAGCUUAAAGGAUGGCCGUCUGAGAGUGACUUCUGACGGCCUCGCCAGCAACCACACAAGGUCUCUUACGGCUAAGACUCUGGAACUCACACAGCGUUUCUUUUGUCACCGUCUGUUGGUCAAGGACAGUCUCAAGGCCCACCCAGAUUCAAGGGAGUGGAGAGAUAGCCUCUGCAUCUUGAUGGAAAGGGUGGCAACAUCAUACUGCAAAAAUGCAUGUGGAUACAGGAAAGUGUGACUCAUUGGGGAGCAUUAUUAUAAUGUUUUUCCAUAGCUGACAUUUCCCACAGGAUAACAUUCUGCUUGCCAGCCUUCCUGUUAUGCCCACAGCUUCCUUUAAAUAGGGGUGCUUGGGUGGCUCAGUCGGUUAAGUGU